GAUCGAUGUGGAAUAGGAUGGAAGAAAUAUUUCUCGGUGUUGAGAAAGAGAGUCAACGUGUCAAAGCUGAGAGGUGGGGGAGACAACCCAGCUACCCAAGGGAAGCCCGAAAGCUCUCAAGUGCAUUAGAUAUGAGGAU
Molecule: long non-coding RNA, 139 nt
Organism: Lemur catta (Ring-tailed lemur)
Lineage: Eukaryota; Metazoa; Chordata; Mammalia; Primates; Lemuridae
Exons: 3
Source: RefSeq, a predicted model, not a curated record